RNAcentral lists this transfer RNA (72 nucleotides) under Caudoviricetes sp. Its description in RNAcentral is "tRNA-Ile". It matches the Rfam family "tRNA". Rfam says of the family: Transfer RNA (tRNA) molecules are approximately 80 nucleotides in length. Their secondary structure includes four short double-helical elements and three loops (D, anti-codon, and T loops). Further hydrogen bonds mediate the characteristic L-shaped molecular structure. tRNAs have two regions of fundamental functional importance: the anti-codon, which is responsible for specific mRNA codon recognition, and the 3' end, to which the tRNAs corresponding amino acid is attached (by aminoacyl-tRNA synthetases). tRNAs cope with the degeneracy of the genetic code in two manners: having more than one tRNA (with a specific anti-codon) for a particular amino acid; and 'wobble' base-pairing, i.e. permitting non-standard base-pairing at the 3rd anti-codon position. Lineage: Duplodnaviria; Heunggongvirae; Uroviricota; Caudoviricetes. The record is from RNAcentral.
GGCUUUAUAGCUCAAUUGACAGAGCACAACACUGAUAAGGUUGAGAUUUGGGUUUGAAUCCCUUUAAAGCCA